UGAGUGAAGAAGUAUCUCGGUAUGUAAAGCUCUAUCAGCAGGGAAGAAAAUGACGGUACCUGACUAAGAAGCCCCGGCUAACUACGUGCCAGCAGCCGCGGUAAUACGUAGGGGGCAAGCGUUAUCCGGAUUUACUGGGUGUAAAGGGAGCGUAGACGGCGACGCAAGUCUGGAGUGAAAGCCCGGGGCCCAACCCCGGGACUGCUUUGGAAACUGUGCUGCUGGAGUGCAGGAGAGGUAAGUGGAAUUCCUAGUGUAGCGGUGAAAUGCGUAGAUAUUAGGAGGAACACCAGUGGCGAAGGCGGCUUACUGGACUGUAACUGACGUUGAGGCUCGAAAGCGUGGGGAGCAAACAGGAUUAGAUACCCUGGUAGUCCACGCCGUAAACGA
Molecule: ribosomal RNA, 390 nt
Filed under: uncultured bacterium
Lineage: Bacteria
Description: bacterial SSU rRNA
Rfam family: Bacterial small subunit ribosomal RNA
Source: RNAcentral